RNAcentral lists this ribosomal RNA (527 nucleotides) under uncultured Gammaproteobacteria bacterium. RNAcentral's name for it is "bacterial SSU rRNA". It matches the Rfam family "Bacterial small subunit ribosomal RNA", at positions 9 to 523 of the family's 1533-position model. Lineage: Bacteria; Pseudomonadati; Pseudomonadota; Gammaproteobacteria. The record is from RNAcentral.
GAGUUUGAUCAUGGCUCAGAUUGAACGCUGGCGGCAGGCCUAACACAUGCAAGUCGAGCGGUAACAUUUCAAAAGCUUGCUUUUGAAGAUGACGAGCGGCGGACGGGUGAGUAAUGCCUGGGAAUUUGCCCAUUUGUGGGGGAUAACAGUUGGAAACGACUGCUAAUACCGCAUGCGCCCUACGGGGGAAAGCAGGGGACCUUCGGGCCUUGCGCUGAUGGAUAAGCCCAGGUGGGAUUAGCUAGUAGGUGAGGUAAUGGCUCACCUAGGCAACGAUCCCUAGCUGGUCUGAGAGGAUGAUCAGCCACACUGGGACUGAGACACGGCCCAGACUCCUACGGGAGGCAGCAGUGGGGAAUAUUGCACAAUGGGGGAAACCCUGAUGCAGCCAUGCCGCGUGUGUGAAGAAGGCCUUCGGGUUGUAAAGCACUUUCAGCGAGGAGGAAAGGGUGUAAGUUAAUACCUUACAUCUGUGACGUUACUCGCAGAAGAAGCACCGGCUAACUCCGUGCCAGCAGCCGCGGUAA